This 509-nucleotide ribosomal RNA is filed under the name uncultured bacterium. RNAcentral's name for it is "partial 16S ribosomal RNA". It matches the Rfam family "Bacterial small subunit ribosomal RNA", at positions 28 to 523 of the family's 1533-position model. The record is from RNAcentral.
GAUGAACGCUGGCGGCAGGCCUAACACAUGCAAGUCGAGGGGUAGCAGGAUUAAGCUUGCUUAAUUGCUGACGACCGGCGCACGGGUGCGUAACGCGUAUGCAACCUACCUUAUACUGGGUAUAGCCCGGAGAAAUUCGGAUUAAUCCCCCAUAGUACUAAUGAAUCGCAUGGUUUAUUAGUUAAAGCAUUGCGGUUUAAGAUGGGCAUGCGUCCUAUUAGCUAGAUGGUGAGGUAACGGCUCACCAUGGCUACGAUAGGUAGGGGGCCUGAGAGGGUGGUCCCCCACACUGGUACUGAGACACGGACCAGACUCCUACGGGAGGCAGCAGUGAGGAAUAUUGGUCAAUGGGCGCAAGCCUGAACCAGCCAUGCCGCGUGCAGGAAGAAUGCCCUAUGGGUUGUAAACUGCUUUUAUUUGGGAAUGAAAAGGUCUCUCUUAAUACGGGGGGCUCAUGACGGUACCGUAAGAAUAAGCACCGGCUAACUACGUGCCAGCCGCCGCAGUAA